UGGGGAAUUUUGGACAAUGGGGGAAACCCUGAUCCAGCCAUGCCGCGUGAGUGAAGAAGGCCUUCGGGUUGUAAAGCUCUUUCGCAAGGGAAGAAAGCUUAGAUCUUAAUACGGUCUGAGGAUGACGGUACCUUGAUAAGAAGCACCGGCUAACUACGUGCCAGCAGCCGCGGUAAUACGUAGGGUGCGAGCGUUAAUCGGAAUUACUGGGCGUAAAGCGUGCGCAGGCGGUUUCGUAAGUCAGAUGUGAAAGCCCCGGGCUCAACCUGGGAACUGCGUUUGAAACUGCGAGGCUAGAGUGUGUCAGAGGGGGGUAGAAUUCCACGUGUAGCAGUGAAAUGCGUAGAGAUGUGGAGGAACACCGAUGGCGAAGGCAGCCCCCUGGGAUAACACUGACGCUCAUGCACGAAAGCGUGGGGAGCAAACA
This 427-nucleotide ribosomal RNA is filed under the name uncultured beta proteobacterium. RNAcentral describes it as "partial 16S ribosomal RNA". It matches the Rfam family "Bacterial small subunit ribosomal RNA", at positions 355 to 774 of the family's 1533-position model. Lineage: Bacteria; Pseudomonadati; Pseudomonadota; Betaproteobacteria. The record is from RNAcentral.